RNAcentral lists this unclassified non-coding RNA (330 nucleotides) under soil metagenome. RNAcentral describes it as "partial contains 5.8S ribosomal RNA, internal transcribed spacer 2, and large subunit ribosomal RNA". The stretch from base 1 to 121 matches the Rfam family "5.8S ribosomal RNA", at positions 35 to 154 of the family's 154-position model. The record is from RNAcentral.
GAUGAAGAACGCAGGCGAAAUGCGAUAAGUAAUGUGAAUUGCAGAAUUCAGUGAAUCAUCGAAUCUUUGAACGCACAUUGCGCCCCUUGGUAUUCCGAGGGGCAUGCCUGUUCGAGCGUCAUUAUAACCCCUCAAGCUCAGCUUGGUGUUGGGGCCUGCUGCACUGGCAGCCCUUAAAAUCAGUGGCGGCGCCAUCUGGCUCUAAGCGUAGUAAUUCUUCUCGCUAUGGAGUCCUGGUGGAUGCUUGCCAUCAACCCCCAAUUUUUCUAUGGUUGACCUCGGAUCAGGUAGGGAUACCCGCUGAACUUAAGCAUAUCAAUAAGCGGAGGA